This 808-nucleotide ribosomal RNA is filed under the name uncultured crenarchaeote. Its description in RNAcentral is "bacterial SSU rRNA". It matches the Rfam family "Archaeal small subunit ribosomal RNA", at positions 52 to 866 of the family's 1478-position model. The record is from RNAcentral. Lineage: Archaea; Thermoproteati; Thermoproteota.
UGCGAGUCAUUGUAGUAAUACAAGGCAGACGGCUCAGUAACGCGUAGUCAACCUAACCUAUGGACGGGAAUAACCUCGGGAAACUGAGUAUAAUGCCCGAUAGAACAUUAUACCUGGAAUGGUUUAUGUUCCAAAUGAUUUAUCGCCGUAGGAUGGGACUGCGGCCUAUCAGUUUGUUGGUGAGGUAAUGGCCCACCAAGACUAUUACAGGUACGGGCUCUGAAAGGAGUAACCCGGAAAUGGGUACUGAGACACGGACCCAGGCCCUAUGGGGCGCAGCAGGCGAGAAAACUUUGCAAUGUGCGAAAGCACGACAAGGUUAAUCCGAGUGGUUUCUGCUAAAGGAACCUUUUGUCGGUCCUAGAAACACCGAUGAAUAAGGGGUGGGCAAGUUCUGGUGUCAGCCGCCGCGGUAAAACCAGCACCUCAAGUGGUCAGGAUGAUUAUUGGGCCUAAAGCAUCCGUAGCCGGCUUUGUUAGUUUUCGGUUAAAUCUGUACGCUCAACGUACAGGCUGCCGGGAAUACUGCAGAGCUAGGGAGUGGGAGAGGUAGACGGUACUCGGUAGGAAGGGGUAAAAUUCUUUGAUCUAUUGAUGACCACCUGUGGCGAAGGCGGUCUACCAGAACACGUCCGACGGUGAGGGAUGAAAGCUGGGGGAGCAAACCGGAUUAGAUACCCGGGUAGUCCCAGCUGUAAACUAUGCAAACUCAGUGAUGCAUUGGCUUGUGGCCAAUGCAGUGCUGCAGGGAAGCCGUUAAGUUUGCCGCCUGGGAAGUACGUACGCAAGUAUGAAACUCAAAUGAAUU